RNAcentral lists this ribosomal RNA (301 nucleotides) under uncultured bacterium. Its description in RNAcentral is "partial 16S ribosomal RNA". It matches the Rfam family "Bacterial small subunit ribosomal RNA", at positions 509 to 807 of the family's 1533-position model. The record is from RNAcentral.
CAGCCGCCGCGGUAAUACGUAGGGGGCAAGCGUUAUCCGGAAUUACUGGGUGUAAAGGGAGCGUAGACGGUUAAACAAGUCUGAAGUGAAAUGCCGGGGCUCAACCCCGGAGCUGCUUUGGGAACUGUAGAACUGGAGUGUCGGAGGGGUAAGCGGAAUUCCCAGUGUAGCGGUGAAAUGCGUAGAUAUUGGGAGGAACACCGGCGGCGAAGGCGGCUUACUGGACGACAACUGACGUUGAGGCUCGAAGGCGUGGGUAGCAAACAGGAUUAGAUACCCCAGUAGUCCCUGUCUCUUAUAC